RNAcentral lists this ribosomal RNA (172 nucleotides) under uncultured archaeon. RNAcentral's name for it is "partial 16S ribosomal RNA". It matches the Rfam family "Bacterial small subunit ribosomal RNA", at positions 338 to 524 of the family's 1533-position model. The record is from RNAcentral.
CCUACGGGAGGCAGCAGUGGGGAAUAUUGGGCAAUGGGCGAAAGCCUGACGCAGCGACGCCGCGUGGGUGAAGAAGGCCUUUGGGUCGUAAAGCCCUGUUGUACGGGACGAAGGGAGUGACGGUACCGUACGAGGAAGCCCCGGCUAACUACGUGCCAGCAGCCGCGGUAAU